Long non-coding RNA from Sapajus apella (tufted capuchin), 928 nucleotides. RefSeq lists it as uncharacterized. The record is from RefSeq and is a predicted model, not a curated record. The transcript has 3 exons. Lineage: Eukaryota; Metazoa; Chordata; Mammalia; Primates; Cebidae.
GCGUAGCAGGCUCUUGGUGGAACAUGUUGAAUGGAGGGGUAAGUCGGCCUAUAGCAGGAUGCAUGUUGAAUAGACGAAUUAGCAGGCAUGUAGUAGGCCCAUGGCAGACACAUGUUGGAUGGAAGGGUAGCAGGCGCAUAGUAGGCGUGUGGCAGAUCAUGUUGGAUUGAGGGUUAGCGGGCGCAUAGUAGGCGUGUGGAAGAUCAUGUUGGAUGGAGGGGUUAGCGGGCACAUAGUAGGCAUGUGGCAGAUAAUGUUGGAUGGAGGGUUAGUGGACGCAUAGUAGGCGUGUGGUAGAUCGUGUUGGAUGGAGGGGUUAGUGGGCGCAUAGUAGGCAUGUGGUAGAUCGUGUUGGAUGGAAGGGUUAGCAGGUGCAUGGUAGGCGUGUGGCAGAUCAUGUUGGAUGGAGGGUUAGCAGGUGCAUGGCAGGCCCUGGUGGAUCAUGUUGAGUGGAGGGGUUUGUGGGCUCAGAGUAGUCCCUGUGCAGAUCAUGUUGGAUGGAGUGGUUGGCAGGGCGCUGGCCCACAGAGCGGCUUGUCACCUAUGUUAUGAGAAGCCCCACGCCAGCUGGAGGCAGAGGAAGGUGACAGCAUCCACUGGAGAUGCAGGUUGUAAGUCUUAGCAGGUGAGCUGGGCUGAAAGGUGUGGGUGAGUGGCCCCAGGCAUGAGGAGCUAAGCAGAAAGGGACACUUGGGAAGGGGGCAGCACACCCAGGGGCUGGGAGUGGAGGCUGGCACUCAGCAGACCUGCCCCUUCCUCCUCACCCAGCCUGGUCCUCACGCCUCAGGCCACCCAGGGAAGGAUUUUCUUCCACCUGAACCCCCUCAGCUCCUUUCUUCGCUUGGCCCCACUCCGCUGUCCCCGGCCCAUCCUCUGUGUGAGGGCGGCAGUGGGGCUGCAGUGUGAGGCCCCCGUGCUGUUUUCUCUC